GAGCCUGUAGUUCAGCCUGGUAGAACGCUGCUCUGAUAAGGCAGAAGUCCACAGUUCAAAUCUGUGCAGGCUCA
RNAcentral lists this transfer RNA (74 nucleotides) under Candidatus Woesearchaeota archaeon CG10_big_fil_rev_8_21_14_0_10_32_24. RNAcentral describes it as "tRNA-Ile". It matches the Rfam family "tRNA". Rfam says of the family: Transfer RNA (tRNA) molecules are approximately 80 nucleotides in length. Their secondary structure includes four short double-helical elements and three loops (D, anti-codon, and T loops). Further hydrogen bonds mediate the characteristic L-shaped molecular structure. tRNAs have two regions of fundamental functional importance: the anti-codon, which is responsible for specific mRNA codon recognition, and the 3' end, to which the tRNAs corresponding amino acid is attached (by aminoacyl-tRNA synthetases). tRNAs cope with the degeneracy of the genetic code in two manners: having more than one tRNA (with a specific anti-codon) for a particular amino acid; and 'wobble' base-pairing, i.e. permitting non-standard base-pairing at the 3rd anti-codon position. The record is from RNAcentral. Lineage: Archaea; Nanobdellati; Candidatus Woesearchaeota.